RNAcentral lists this ribosomal RNA (494 nucleotides) under uncultured bacterium. RNAcentral's name for it is "partial 16S ribosomal RNA". It matches the Rfam family "Bacterial small subunit ribosomal RNA", at positions 28 to 507 of the family's 1533-position model. The record is from RNAcentral.
GACGAACGCUGGCGGCGUGCUUAACACAUGCAAGUCGAACGGUGAAGCGCCUUCCUUUUUGGUGGGUGUGGAUGAGUGGCGAACGGGUGAGUAACACGUGAGUAACCUGCCCCCUUCUUCUGGAUAACCGCAUGAAAGUGUGGCUAAUACGGGAUAUUCUGGGUCUGUCGCAUGAUGGGUCUGGGAAAGAUAUUGUUUCGGUGGGGGAUGGGUUCGCGGCCUAUCAGCUUGUUGGUGGGGUGAUGGCCUACCAAGGCGGUGACGGGUAGCCGGCCUGAGAGGGUGGACGGUCACACUGGGACUGAGACACGGCCCAGACUCCUACGGGAGGCAGCAGUGGGGAAUAUUGCACAAUGGGCGCAAGCCUGAUGCAGCGACGCCGCGUGAGGGAUGGAGGCCUUCGGGUUGUGAACCUCUUUCGCCAGUGAAGCAGGCCUGCCUCGUUUGUGGGUGGGUUGACGGUAGCUGGAUAAGAAGCGCCGGCUAACUACGUG